RNAcentral lists this unclassified non-coding RNA (234 nucleotides) under plant metagenome. Its description in RNAcentral is "partial contains small subunit ribosomal RNA, internal transcribed spacer 1, and 5.8S ribosomal RNA". The record is from RNAcentral.
UUUCCGUAGGUGAACCUGCGGAAGGAUCAUUAAAGUUAUAGUCCCCUGGCCCUCUGGGCUGGGGUCUUCUAUACCACCCUUUGUUUAUUACACCUUUGUUGCUUUGGCAGGCCUGCCUCCGGGCUGCUGGCUCCGGCCGGCGAGCGUCUGCCAGAGGACCUAAACUCUGUUUGUCUAUAACGUCUGAGUACUAUAUAAUAGUUAAAACUUUCAACAACGGAUCUCUUGGUUCUG